CCUACGGGUGGCAGCAGUGAGGAAUAUUGGUCAAUGGACGAGAGUCUGAACCAGCCAAGUAGCGUGAAGGAUGACUGCCCUAUGGGUUGUAAACUUCUUUUAUAUGGGAAUAAAAUGUUCCACGUGUGGGAUUUUGUAUGUACCAUAUGAAUAAGGAUCGGCUAACUCCGUGCCAGCAGCCGCGGUAAUACGGAGGAUCCGAGCGUUAUCCGGAGUUAUUGGGUUUAAAGGGAGCGUAGGUGGAUUGUUAAGUCAGUUGUGAAAGUUUGCGGAGCAACCGUAAAAUUGAAGUUGAAACUGGCAGGCUUGAGGACAGUAGAGGUGGGCGGAAUUCGUGGUGUAGCGGUGAAAUGCUUAGAUAGCACGAAGAACUCCGAUUGCGAAGGCAGUUCACUGGACUGCAACUGACACUGAGGCUCGAAAGUGUGGGUAUCAAACAGGAUUAGAUACCCGGGUAGUC
This 460-nucleotide ribosomal RNA is filed under the name uncultured bacterium. RNAcentral's name for it is "partial 16S ribosomal RNA". It matches the Rfam family "Bacterial small subunit ribosomal RNA", at positions 338 to 795 of the family's 1533-position model. The record is from RNAcentral.